RNAcentral lists this ribosomal RNA (564 nucleotides) under uncultured bacterium. RNAcentral's name for it is "partial 16S ribosomal RNA". It matches the Rfam family "Bacterial small subunit ribosomal RNA", at positions 355 to 914 of the family's 1533-position model. The record is from RNAcentral.
UGGGGAAUUUUGGACAAUGGGCGAAAGCCUGAUCCAGCAAUGCCGCGUGUGUGAAGAAGGCCUUCGGGUUGUAAAGCACUUUUGUCCGGAAAGAAAUCCUUGGCUCUAAUACAGUCGGGGGAUGACGGUACCGGAAGAAUAAGCACCGGCUAACUACGUGCCAGCAGCCGCGGUGAUACGUAGGGUGCAAGCGUUAAUCGGAAUUACUGGGCGUAAAGCGUGCGCAGGCGGUUUGCUAAGACCGAUGUGAAAUCCCCGGGCUCAACCUGGGAACUGCAUUGGUGACUGGCAGGCUAGAGUAUGGCAGAGGGGGUAGAAUUCCACGUGUAGCAGUGAAAUGCGUAGAGAUGUGGAGGAAUACCGAUGGCGAAGGCAGCCCCCUGGGCCAAUACUGACGCUCAUGCACGAAAGCGUGGGGAGCAAACAGGAUUAGAUACCCUGGUAGUCCACGCCCUAAACGAUGUCAACUAGUUGUUGGGGAUUCAUUUCCUAGUAACGUAGCUAACGCGUGAAGUUGACCGCCUGGGGAGUACGGUCGCAAGAUUAAAACUCAAAUGAAUUGAC